UUCCUGAAAAUAUCUGCUUAGAGAAAAUGGACAGAAAUCAUUCAUUGUCGUCACAAGAAAAUGACAUUCUUGCUUUUAUUUGUAUCAUCAAUCGACCAAAAAACUCACAGCUGCCCUUUGAUGCUUGUCCAGCAGUGGAUAGAACAUGUCAAAGAUCGCACGCUUCUACGCAAAUUUUUGGCACUAUUUCUUUUAAUCACAAGCCUCCAUUUUGUACUUUUUGUCUUUAGCAUUAUUGGUUCUGAAUUUAUCACUUCUUGUGUCAAGUUUCUGAUGUGUAUUAUUAAUGUGAAAAUCAUCUGAAGCUUCAGCUCUUUUUAACAUGGCUACUAGUAGUAGUUCUUCAUUUGCAGCAGCUUCCAUGUCGCCUGGAAAUAGUUCUGGCCAUGAUCAGAAAGAUGAGCUUCUCUUUUCUGAUGACCCCAACUUUGCUCUACAUGCUUUAUAAUGGAGGUGAUCAUAGCACAGAGCAUUGCUCACUGGAGCAAGUGUUUCCGAGAAAUCUCCCAGUUGUCCAGUUUCAGGAUCAUCUUGAAACUGGUUCCAAGUUGCAGCAUCAAUCAGUGUGAGAUAUCAAAGUAAGUGAUUAUGCAGAUCGCUAAGAGAGAGAGUUUGAGGAAUAUUAUGCAUUGCUGUGAUGUUAAUUGUUGUGCCAUUUCUUCGUCUUGUUGAUUAAUAAUAAUUUACAGCUUAAUUA
Long non-coding RNA from Mangifera indica (mango), 697 nucleotides. RefSeq lists it as uncharacterized. The record is from RefSeq and is a predicted model, not a curated record. Lineage: Eukaryota; Viridiplantae; Streptophyta; Magnoliopsida; Sapindales; Anacardiaceae. The transcript is spliced from 2 exons.